RNAcentral lists this ribosomal RNA (253 nucleotides) under uncultured bacterium. Its description in RNAcentral is "partial 16S ribosomal RNA". It matches the Rfam family "Bacterial small subunit ribosomal RNA", at positions 524 to 776 of the family's 1533-position model. The record is from RNAcentral.
GACAGAGGUGCCAAGCGUUAGGCGGAAUCACUGGGCUUAAAGCGUGUGUAGGUGGAUGCCUAAGUACCUUGUGAAAUCCCACGGCUCAACCGUGGAACUGCUCGGUAUACUGGGUGUCUUGAGCCACUUAGGGGCUACCGGAACAAAUGGUGGAGCGGUGAAAUGCGUAGAUAUCAUUUGGAACGCCAAUGGUGAAAACAGGUAGCUGGGGGUGUGCUGACACUGAGACACGAAAGCCAGGGGAGCAAACGGG